UGGGCAGUAGCUCAGUGGUAGAGAUCCAGCUUCGAAUGCGCGAAGACCGGGGUUCGAUUCCCCGCUGCUUCA
RNAcentral lists this transfer RNA (72 nucleotides) under Toxocara canis (dog roundworm). It matches the Rfam family "tRNA". From Rfam's summary of the family: Transfer RNA (tRNA) molecules are approximately 80 nucleotides in length. Their secondary structure includes four short double-helical elements and three loops (D, anti-codon, and T loops). Further hydrogen bonds mediate the characteristic L-shaped molecular structure. tRNAs have two regions of fundamental functional importance: the anti-codon, which is responsible for specific mRNA codon recognition, and the 3' end, to which the tRNAs corresponding amino acid is attached (by aminoacyl-tRNA synthetases). tRNAs cope with the degeneracy of the genetic code in two manners: having more than one tRNA (with a specific anti-codon) for a particular amino acid; and 'wobble' base-pairing, i.e. permitting non-standard base-pairing at the 3rd anti-codon position. The record is from Rfam by way of RNAcentral. Lineage: Eukaryota; Metazoa; Nematoda; Chromadorea; Rhabditida; Toxocaridae.